AUUGAACACUGGCGGCAUGCCUUACACAUGCAAGUCGAACGGCAGCACGGGAGCAAUCCUGGUGGCGAGUGGCGAACGGGUGAGUAAUACAUCGGAACGUGCCCAAUCGUGGGGGAUAACGCAGCGAAAGCUGUGCUAAUACCGCAUACGAUCUACGGAUGAAAGCAGGGGAUCGCAAGACCUUGCGCGAAUGGAGCGGCCGAUGGCAGAUUAGGUAGUUGGUGAGGUAAAGGCUCACCAAGCCGUCGAUCUGUAGCUGGUCUGAGAGGACGACCAGCCACACUGGGACUGAGACACGGCCCAGACUCCUACGGGAGGCAGCAGUGGGGAAUUUUGGACAAUGGGCGAAAGCCUGAUCCAGCCAUGCCGCGUGCAGGAUGAAGGCCUUCGGGUUGUAAACUGCUUUUGUACGGAACGAAACGGCCUUUUCUAAUAAAGAGGGCUAAUGACGGUACCGUAAGAAUAAGCACCGGCUAACUACGUGCCAGCAGCCGCGGUAAUACGUAGGGUGCAAGCGUUAAUCGGAAUUACUGGGCGUAAAGCGUGCGCAGGCGGUUAUGUAAGACAGUUGUGAAAUCCCCGGGCUCAACCUGGGAACUGCAUCUGUGACUGCAUAGCUAGAGUACGGUAGAGGGGGAUGGAAUUCCGCGUGUAGCAGUGAAAUGCGUAGAUAUGCGGAGGAACACCGAUGGCGAAGGCAAUCCCCUGGACCUGUACUGACGCUCAUGCACGAAAGCGUGGGGAGCAAACAGG
RNAcentral lists this ribosomal RNA (753 nucleotides) under uncultured Comamonadaceae bacterium. Its description in RNAcentral is "bacterial SSU rRNA". It matches the Rfam family "Bacterial small subunit ribosomal RNA", at positions 28 to 776 of the family's 1533-position model. Lineage: Bacteria; Pseudomonadati; Pseudomonadota; Betaproteobacteria; Burkholderiales; Comamonadaceae. The record is from RNAcentral.